RNAcentral lists this ribosomal RNA (476 nucleotides) under uncultured soil bacterium. Its description in RNAcentral is "bacterial SSU rRNA". It matches the Rfam family "Bacterial small subunit ribosomal RNA", at positions 26 to 518 of the family's 1533-position model. The record is from RNAcentral.
AGGACGAACGCUGGCGGCGUGCUUAACACAUGCAAGUCGAGCGGUAAGGCCUUUCGGGGUACACGAGCGGCGAACGGGUGAGUAACACGUGGGUGAUCUGCCCUGCACUCUGGGAUAAGCCUGGGAAACUGGGUCUAAUACCGGAUAUGACCUGCUCUCGCAUGGGGGGUGGGUGGAAAGAUUUAUCGGUGCAGGAUGGGCCCGCGGCCUAUCAGCUUGUUGGUGGGGUAAUGGCCUACCAAGGCGACGACGGGUAGCCGACCUGAGAGGGUGACCGGCCACACUGGGACUGAGACACGGCCCAGACUCCUACGGGAGGCAGCAGUGGGGAAUAUUGCACAAUGGGCGAAAGCCUGAUGCAGCGACGCCGCGUGAGGAUGAAGGCCUUCGGGUUAGUAAACCUCUUUCAGCAGGACGAAGCGCAAGUGACGGUACCUGCAGAAGAAGCACCGACUAACUACGUGCCAGCAGCCGAC